GUGCUUGCUUCGGCAGCACGUGUACUAGAAUUGGAACGAUACAGAGAAGGUUAGCAUGGCCCCUGUGCAAGGAUGAUGUACAAAUUAGUGAAGUGUCCCAUAUUUUU
This 107-nucleotide small nuclear RNA is filed under the name Zalophus californianus (California sea lion). The record is from RNAcentral. Lineage: Eukaryota; Metazoa; Chordata; Mammalia; Carnivora; Otariidae.